CCGCGCAGCUGGGGAGUUAGCGGCACCCUGUACCUGCAAUCCGCUACAGCAGGAGUGAUGUAUUGCCUAGGGUAAAAUUUGUGGAGCUGCCCGAUAUAAGUGGUGUUGACGUUUGGGUCUUUCGCAACAGAAAUUCAUGAAUCAUGUCAGGUCAGGAAUGAAGCAGCAUUAAGUGAAACCUUUUGUGUGCCGGAGGGUCGCCUAAACUGAGCUAACUAUAUCGGUAACGUCUGGGGAUUCCUAUUCGAAGCAAUACGCGCGG
RNAcentral lists this signal recognition particle RNA (262 nucleotides) under [Clostridium] fimetarium. RNAcentral describes it as "Clostridium fimetarium Bacterial large signal recognition particle RNA". It matches the Rfam family "Bacterial large signal recognition particle RNA". From Rfam's summary of the family: The signal recognition particle (SRP) is a universally conserved ribonucleoprotein involved in the co-translational targeting of proteins to membranes. Archaeal SRP consists of a 7S RNA and homologues of the eukaryotic SRP19 and SRP54 proteins. The record is from Rfam by way of RNAcentral. Lineage: Bacteria; Bacillati; Bacillota; Clostridia; Lachnospirales; Lachnospiraceae.